AGAGUUUGAUCAUGGCUCAGAACGAACGCUGGCGGCGUGGCUAAGACAUGCAAGUCGAACGGACUGGUCAAUUGGGUAACUGAGAGACCAGUUAGUGGCGAAAGGGUGAGGAAUAGACAGGUGACGUACCUCAAGCUUCGGGAUAAUGUCGUGUCCGCAAGAUACUACCGAAAGGGACACUAAUACCGGAUAAUGUGGUCUUCUUAAUUGAGGAUUACCAAAGAUUUAUCGGCGUGAGAGCCGGCCUAUCUCCUAUCAGCUAGUUGGUGAGGUAAUGGCUCACCAAGGCAAUGACGGGUAGCGGGACUGAGAGGUUCCCCCGCCACAUCGGGACUGAGACACNGCCCGGACCUCCACGGAGGCCUGCAGUAACGAAUAUUGGGCAAUGGGCGAAAGCCUGACCCAGCGACGCCGCGUGCGGAGGAAGUCCCUCGGGAUGUAAACCGCUGUCAGGGUGAAGAAAGACCGCAAGUUUGAUCUAACCCAGAGGAAGCAACGGCUAACUUCGUGCCAGCAGCCGCGGUAAUACGAAGGAUGCAAGCGUUGUUCGGAAUCACUGGGCUUAAAGCGUAUGUAGGCGGAUGAGUAAGCGUUUUGUGAAAUCCCCCGGCUUAACCGGAAUUUGCUUGGCGAACUGCUCAUCUUGAGGCAAAUAGGGGUACAUGGAACUCUUGGUGGAGCGGUGGAAUGCGUAGAUAUCAAGAGGAACGCCAGCGGCRAAAGCGGUGUACUGGAUUUGUCCUGACGCUCAGAUACGAAAGCGUGGGGAGCAAACGGGAUUAGAUACCCCGGUAGUCCACGCCCUAAACGAUGCCUACUAGGUUGUAGAAGCUCUGACGCUUUUACGGCCGAAGCAAAAGUGUUAAGUAGGCCGCCUGGGAAGUACGGUCGCAAGGCUAAAACUCAAAGGAAUUGACGGGGGCUCACACAAGCGGUGGAGUAUGUGGAUUAAUUCGAAGCAACGCGCAGAACCUUACCUGGGUUUGACAUGGUUGGAUGCCUAUCUGGAAACAGAGUCGGUUGCCCGCAAGGGUGAAACUUCCACAGGUGCUGCAUGGCUGUCGUCAGCUCGUGUCGUGAGAUGUCGGGUUAAGUCCCUUAACGAGCGAAACCCUUGUCAUUAGUUACCAUUCCCGCAAGGGAGGGACUCUAAUGAGACUGCCGGUGUUAAACCGGAGGAAGGUGGGGAUGACGUCAAGUCCUCAUGGCCUUUAUGCCCAGGGCCUCACACGUACUACAAUGGCGGAUACAAAGCGACGCAAGACCGCAAGGUGGAGCAAAUCGCAUAAAGUUCGCCCCAGUUCAGAUUGCAGGCUGCAAUUCGCCUGCAUAAAGUUGGAAUCGCUAGUAAUCGCGGAUCAGCUACGCCGCGGUGAAUGUGUUCCUGAGCCUUGUACACACCGCCCGUCAAGUCAUGGGAGCCGGGAGUACCGAAGUCGGGUUGCUAACUGCAAAGAAGCGCCUGCCGACGGUAAGCUCGGUGACUGGGACUAAGUCGUAACAAGGUAACC
RNAcentral lists this ribosomal RNA (1511 nucleotides) under uncultured bacterium. RNAcentral's name for it is "16S ribosomal RNA". It matches the Rfam family "Bacterial small subunit ribosomal RNA". The record is from RNAcentral.